AUGAACGCUGGCGGCGUGCCUAAUACCUGCAAGUCGAGCGAACAGACGAGGAGCUUGCUCCUCUGACGUUAGCGGCGGACGGGUGAGUAACACGUGGAUAACCUACCUAUAAGACUGGGAUAACUUCGGGAAACCGGAGCUAAUACCGGAUAAUAUAUUUAACCGCAUGGUUCAAUAGUGAAAGACGGUUUUGCUGUCACUUAUAGAUGGAUCCGCGCCGCAUUAGCUAGUUGGUAAGGUAACGGCUUACCAAGGCAACGAUGCGUAGCCGACCUGAGAGGGUGAUCGGCCACACUGGAACUGAGACACGGUCCAGACUCCUACGGGAGGCAGCAGUAGGGAACCUUCCGCAAUGGGCGAAAGCCUGACGGAGCAACGCCGCGUGAGUGAUGAAGGUCUUCGGAUCGUAAAACUCUGUUAUUAGGGAAGAACAAAUGUGUAAGUAACUAUGCACGUCUUGACGGUACCUAAUCAGGAAGCCACGGCUAACUACGUG
RNAcentral lists this ribosomal RNA (496 nucleotides) under uncultured bacterium. Its description in RNAcentral is "partial 16S ribosomal RNA". It matches the Rfam family "Bacterial small subunit ribosomal RNA", at positions 29 to 507 of the family's 1533-position model. The record is from RNAcentral.